Molecule: unclassified non-coding RNA, 246 nt
Filed under: uncultured fungus
Lineage: Eukaryota; Fungi
Description: sequence contains ITS2
Source: RNAcentral
AACGCACAUUGCGCCCCUUGGUAUUCCGGGGGGCAUGCCUGUUCGAGCGUCAUUUCAACCCUCAAGCUUUGCUUGGUCUUGGGCUCUGCCGGCAGCGGCUUGCCUUAAACUCAGUGGCGGUGCCAUUCGAGCUCUACGCGUAGUAAUAAAACCCUCGCGAUUGAGCCUUGGAAGGAUGCUUGCCAGCAACCCCCUAAUUUUUCUAUGGUUGACCUCGGAUCAGGUAGGGAUACCCGCUGAACUUAA